This 775-nucleotide ribosomal RNA is filed under the name Cladonia sp. RNAcentral describes it as "partial 28S ribosomal RNA". It matches the Rfam family "Eukaryotic large subunit ribosomal RNA", at positions 151 to 944 of the family's 3401-position model. Lineage: Eukaryota; Fungi; Ascomycota; Lecanoromycetes; Lecanorales; Cladoniaceae. The record is from RNAcentral.
UAGAGGAUGUUUCGGGCGCGGCGCGGGUCUAAGUCCUUUGGAACAGGGCGUCACAGAGGGUGAGAAUCCCGUAUGUGACCCGUGAUCAAGCCCAUGUGAAACCCCUUCGACGAGUCGAGUUGUUUGGGAAUGCAGCUCAAAAUGGGUGGUAAAUUUCAUCUAAAGCUAAAUACCGGCCAGAGACCGAUAGCGCACAAGUAGAGUGAUCGAAAGAUGAAAAGCACUUUGGAAAGAGAGUCAAAAAGUACGUGAAAUUGUUGAAAGGGAAGCGCUUGCAACCAGACCUGUCCGCGGGCGAUCAACUCCCGUUCUCGGGGGUGCACUCGUUCGCGAUCAGGCCAGCAUCGGUUUGGGCGGCCGGAUAAAGGCUUUGGGAAUGUAGCUCCUUCCGGGGAGUGUUAUAGCCCUUGGUGUAAUGCGGCCAGCCCAGACCGAGGACCGCGCUUUCGGGCUAGGAUGCUGGCGUAAUGGUUGUAAGCGACCCGUCUUGAAACACGGACCAAGGAGUCUAACAUCUAUGCAAGUGUUUGGGUGUCAAACCCAUGCGCGUAAUGAAAGUGAACGGAGGUGAGAACCCUUAAGGGCGCAUCAUCGACCGAUCCAGAUGUCUUCGGAUGGAUUUGAGUACGAGCAUAGCUGUUGGGACCCGAAAGAUGGUGAACUAUGCCUGAAUAGGGUGAAGCCAGAGGAAACUCUGGUGGAGGCUCGCAGCGGUUCUGACGUGCAAAUCGAUCGUCAAAUUUGGGUAUAGGGGCGAAAGACUAAUCGAACCAUC